RNAcentral lists this ribosomal RNA (63 nucleotides) under Tuber whetstonense. RNAcentral's name for it is "partial 28S ribosomal RNA". The record is from RNAcentral. Lineage: Eukaryota; Fungi; Ascomycota; Pezizomycetes; Pezizales; Tuberaceae.
GACCUCGGAUCAGGUAGGGAUACCCGCCUGAAACUUAAGCAUAUCAAUUAAAGCGGGAGGAAA